UUAACCCGGGCGGGUGCUAUACAUGCAAGUCGAACGAACUCUGGUAUUGAUUGGUGCUUGCAUCAUGAUUUACAUUUGAGUGAGUGGCGAACUGGUGAGUAACACGUGGGAAACCUGCCCAGAAGCGGGGGAUAACACCUGGAAACAGAUGCUAAUACCGCAUAACAACUUGGACCGCAUGGUCCGAGCUUGAAAGAUGGCUUCGGCUAUCACUUUUGGAUGGUCCCGCGGCGUAUUAGCUAGAUGGUGGGGUAACGGCUCACCAUGGCAAUGAUACGUAGCCGACCUGAGAGGGUAAUCGGCCACAUUGGGACUGAGACACGGCCCAAACUCCUACGGGAGGCAGCAGUAGGGAAUCUUCCACAAUGGACGAAAGUCUGAUGGAGCAACGCCGCGUGAGUGAAGAAGGGUUUCGGCUCGUAAAACUCUGUUGUUAAAGAAGAACAUAUCUGAGAGUAACUGUUCAGGUAUUGACGGUAUUUAACCAGAAAGCCACGGCUAACUACGUGCCAGCAGCCGCGGUAAUACGUAGGUGGCAAGCGUUGUCCGGAUUUAUUGGGCGUAAAGCGAGCGCAGGCGGUUUUUUAAGUCUGAUGUGAAAGCCUUCGGCUCAACCGAAGAAGUGCAUCGGAAACUGGGAAACUUGAGUGCAGAAGAGGACAGUGGAACUCCAUGUGUAGCGGUGAAAUGCGUAGAUAUAUGGAAGAACACCAGUGGCGAAGGCGGCUGUCUGGUCUGUAACUGACGCUGAGGCUCGAAAGUAUGGGUAGCAAACAGGAUUAGAUACCCUGGUAGUCCAUACCGUAAACGAUGAAUGCUAAGUGUUGGAGGGUUUCCGCCCUUCAGUGCUGCAGCUAACGCAUUAAGCAUUCCGCCUGGGGAGUACGGCCGCAAGGCUGAAACUCAAAGGAAUUGACGGGGGCCCGCACAAGCGGUGGAGCAUGUGGUUUAAUUCGAAGCUACGCGAAGAACCUUACCAGGUCUUGACAUACUAUGCAAAUCUAAGAGAUUAGACGUUCCCUUCGGGGACAUGGAUACAGGUGGUGCAUGGUUGUCGUCAGCUCGUGUCGUGAGAUGUUGGGUUAAGUCCCGCAACGAGCGCAACCCUUAUUAUCAGUUGCCAGCAUUAAGUUGGGCACUCUGGUGAGACUGCCGGUGACAAACCGGAGGAAGGUGGGGAUGACGUCAAAUCAUCAUGCCCCUUAUGACCUGGGCUACACACGUGCUACAAUGGAUGGUACAACGAGUUGCGAACUCGCGAGAGUAAGCUAAUCUCUUAAAGCCAUUCUCAGUUCGGAUUGUAGGCUGCAACUCGCCUACAUGAAGUCGGAAUCGCUAGUAAUCGCGGAUCAGCAUGCCGCGGUGAAUACGUUCCCGGGCCUUGUACACACCGCCCGUCACACCAUGAGAGUUUGUAACACCCAAAGUCGGUGGGGUAACCUUUUAGGAACCAGCCGCCUAAGGUGACAGAUUUACGG
RNAcentral lists this ribosomal RNA (1478 nucleotides) under Lactobacillus sp. KLDS 1.0708. RNAcentral describes it as "bacterial SSU rRNA". It matches the Rfam family "Bacterial small subunit ribosomal RNA". Lineage: Bacteria; Bacillati; Bacillota; Bacilli; Lactobacillales; Lactobacillaceae. The record is from RNAcentral.